This 468-nucleotide ribosomal RNA is filed under the name uncultured bacterium. Its description in RNAcentral is "partial 16S ribosomal RNA". It matches the Rfam family "Bacterial small subunit ribosomal RNA", at positions 28 to 507 of the family's 1533-position model. The record is from RNAcentral.
GACGAACGCUGGCGGCGUGCUUAACACAUGCAAGUCGAACGGAAAGGCCCUGCUUUUGUGGGGUGCUCGAGUGGCGAACGGGUGAGUAACACGUGAGUAACCUGCCCUUGACUUUGGGAUAACUUCAGGAAACUGGGGAUACUACCGGAUAGGAGCUGCUGCUGCAUGGUGGGGGUCGGACAGUUUCGGCGGUUGGGGAUGGACUCGCGGCUUAUCAGCGUGUUGGUGGGGUAGUGGCUUACCAAGGCUUUGGCGGGUCGCCGGCCUGGGCGGGGGACCGGCCACAUUGGGCCUGAGAUACGGCCCAGACUCCUACGGGGGGCAGCAGUGGGGAAUAUUGCACAGUGGGCGGAAGCCUGAUGCAGCAACGCCGCGUGCGGGAUGACGGCCUUCGGGUUGUAAACCGCUUUCGCCUGUGACGAAGCGUGAGUGACGGUAAUGGGUAAAGAAGCACCGGCUAACUACGUG